Molecule: long non-coding RNA, 5274 nt
Organism: Numida meleagris (helmeted guineafowl)
Lineage: Eukaryota; Metazoa; Chordata; Aves; Galliformes; Numididae
Exons: 2
Source: RefSeq, a predicted model, not a curated record
CCCCCACCUUCCUCCAGGAGCGGGACGGCGGCGACUACAGCUCCCGGCGUGCGGCGCGGCUCCCGGCCUGCCCAGCGCUGCCCGCCCCACGUCACCCCGCGGCUCUGCGGAGGCGGUGCCUGUGCGCUGGGAGCGGUCCCCCCGGGACGAGGUGUGCCGCCGGCGGUCCUGGAACCCACGCCUCCCCCGAGGAGCAGUUUUCCCAGGUGUAGAAACAGUGAAGAGUAGAGAAGCACCAAUUUUCAGCCAUAGCAGAGAGCUGAGAGAACACUACGGCAGCCUAGAUGGACACAGAAAUGCAGAGUGCCCAACGGAGGCGUUGCUACAAGCCUGCAUGAGUGGGGCGUAUGUGCAGGGAAGGUGGAACACAGAUGUGCAAGUGCUCCAGAAGGAACUGGAGGGCUCUCACCUGUGCUUCAGCCCAUGGGACCAUCCUGCCCUAAGGGAAGGCUGACUUCAGUAGGAACAGACUUCCACUGGAGGUGAAAUUUCUGAGCUGCUUACUUAUUUUUUUCUGAUCUCUGUCUUGGUGCAAACUGUACUGAAAUACACAGGGUAUGAGUCAUAGAAAAUGAAUCAGUAACACGUAUUUUAAAAUGUGCACAUAUUCAAGCUGGAUUUCUAUAGAUUUUAUAACCUUUAUGAAAGUUUUCAUAAACGGUGAACGUUGAAAGCAAUUGUGAGAAUUUCAACAUUUAUUUACCCGUGGAGUUUUGUUAAACUUGUUUUAGUGCAAAUGGAACAAUUGCCAUUAACAGCAUAAGCUUUGCAAGGUAUCUUAAUUUGAUAAUAAGAAACUUCAGGCUGGAAGUUCAGAAACACCUUCAGAUGGUGUUAAAAAAUAGAUGCAAGCAUGACUGCUUACUGAUAUAACAAAUGUUAUAACUAUUGUAACCAACUAUCACAUUUACAACUAUAUUAUAACAAACAUUUAUAUACUGAAGGAGUGAAUAAGCUUGAGAGGACAUAUGAUCCAAAUGCAUUUAAGAUAGAACUAACAUUUGUUAAACAGAAGUAAAACAUGCAGCAUCAAAAACCGUCUUCAGAAACAGGUAAUACUCCCUCUGUGGACUGUGCUCAGCGUUUUCUGAACUCCAUUGGCUGCAGCCCUUCGACAGAGCAGAAAUUUUGCGUGCGUUGUUCUAUCAGAUUUCACACUGAAAAAUUACGCUGAUACCUUAGCUGAGUCAGUGAAAGCCACAAGGUGAAGCCAACUCAAGCAUGAGGCUCACAGCUGCAGCUUAACUUAGCUUGGCUUGGAAAAUGUCUUUUAAAAACUAUUAGCCACACCUGGCCUCUGCUCCAUAGGAGCUCAGUUGCCUUGAUCAGCAUGCUGUCUGUAUUGGAAACUAGAUACAUGAAAUAAUACUAUAGCGAUACAAAAAGCACUUGCAAAACCAUCUCUUAAUAAUGUAUCAUUUGUCCCAAACACCGCCCUAUUUUAAGGAUUUGUUUUACACUGUUAGUGUAACAGUGAGAUACUGGCCUUUAGGUCUUGUCUGAGUUCGGUGGGAAUCCACCCAGCGUUUGAAACUUUCCAGUGACGCCGUGUCUGUAGCAGAAAGUGGUGCAGACAAACAAGAGGCCGAGUGUGAUGAAUGAAUAAAACUUAGCUGUAGAAACACCUGACCUGAAAUGCAAAUAAAAAGAAAAUAUAAUUAUUUUUAGAUUCCUGUCAAUGUUUAAGUGAAGAUUAUCUCAGAUUUCAUCAUAGCAGUACAGUCACUUGGUACGGUAAUUUAUGACAAUAUUCAUCUGGUUAAUCAUGAGGUAUUUCUUGUCAUCUGUAUGGUCAUAAUGAUUCAGAAUCCAACAGGCAUGUACCUCAAUGAGUUGCUUCUUCCAGUCAGUGGCAAUGUUCCUUUGAUUAAGGAUCACAAACAAAGCUUUCUUUUAAGUAAAAGCACUGGAGUAGUUAGAAGUUCGUUUGAUUUUAAAACCUCACCAGCUCCAGCUGUCUUUUGUACAGAAACGCUGCAAGAGUUGCAGUGAGAAGCGGGUAUUAUCCAUUGCUUACUUCCAGCCUGCAGGCUGGGAUAUAAGUAUUCCCUCUAAACACUUUUUACAUCGUUAAAUAAGUUUGUAAGCAUGGCCAAAGCCAUUCUCUCAAGUGCCUGGUGUGUUGGAGAAGUGCAGAUGGGAUAAUGUUCAAAUCUGAUUUUCAUUUCCAUCCAUGGAAACACUUUAAUUUCAGCAGGGGGCUGUGGAAAUAGGAUUUCUGCAGGACGGCUCAAAAUGAAUGUAAGCAGUCCCAAGGGAAGCAUCUAGCUCUGUGGGUCUAGCACAAACGCUGCGUUACACCACACGAGGCCUGGCAGGCUGAAAAACACCCUGCUUGCUUUCUAGCAGAGAUUCUGGAGAAGCGAAAUCAUUAAAACUGUGCGGAUAACUUCUGUCUUUAUCUCUGAGUCAUCUGCACAGAGAAAGAACACAGUAUCUUGUCUUCUUGUUUUUGUACUAUCAAGUAUAUUUCACAAAAAAAAAAAAAAAGCCAAACCAAACAAACAAAAAAAGGAAGAGCAGAGGGAGAAUUUAAUAUAUUAAAUAACAAUCUAUUAUAAAUAUCUACUAGCUGUUACCUUUCUGUUACACCAUAUAUACGGACUGCAAAGACUGUUUUUAAAUCACAAAAGCUGCAAUAGAUAAGAAAAGCUGUCAGGCUGUUUUCAUCACUGAAGCACAGUCACAGAAUCCUGUGAAACUGUCCAGUACACAUCAUUCAUUCUUAUAUCUUUAAUGAAAAAAUUAAGUUAUCGAUGAUCAGAUUAGGAUUACUAUUAAAAUUAUUUAAACCCUUCUGGGGUUGUUGAGUGAUGCUCACAAUGAAGUUUAUUGUCAGAUUUUAGUACCUUUGCAGUUACAGUUUUUCUGCAGUACUGUUGACAUUUCUGAGCAUUCAGCCACGUAGAUACGGGUUUUUACAUGUGACGUGCUUUGUAAAAAGCUAAUUCCACAGGAGCUGUCCCAGCAGUAUCAGCAGGGCUUUAAACAUGAUGUAAUACAUCUCAAAGCAACGAUCAGGAUACAGGAGAGCUCUUACAGCUUAGAGUUAGAAAAAGCUUAACAACGGUGUUCCCCUUGCUGCAGGUUUAGUAUAAACAAGGAAUGUGGCAGAAGCUGCAGUGCAUUGGCCAGUCCUCACUGUUUGCAGUCUGACUUUUCUGCUGGUGCUUCGAGCACGCAGGCUUGAAAGAAGGGGAGAAGAAAAGGCAGAACUCUCUCCUGUGCCUUUUGUCAGGUUGGAAAAAAACCGAAAAGAUCCUCGCACAGAAACUCAUUGGUUUCAAGUGUCAAGGUGGCCAGUAGAAGUACCCAACAAGAGUAUGUGAGCAGCAUUUGUUUAUUGACUUCUAUUGGAAUGUGUGGGUCUUUACCCCAAAUAUAUGGGAUGUAGGGUACUACACUGAAUAUUGUAUAAUUCAAUUUCUUUUUUUUUUUUUUAACUUGAGAAUGUUAAUUUAACGUGAAAAGAAGACAAAUUCUCCAGUAGAAGCUAUACUCUCAUAAGCUCUUGUAAAACAUAAGAAGUCUCUAAAGGGGGGCUAGCUAUAAGGAGGAAGGGGACAGACUCUUUAACGGGGUCCAUUGUGACAGAACAAGGAGAAAUAGUUUCAAACUAAAAGAAUGGAGAUUUAGAUGGGAUAGAAAGACAAAGUUUUUUACAGUAAGGGCGGUGAGGUGCUGGCACAGGUUGCCCAGAGAGGUGGAUGCCCCAUCCCUGGAGACACUCAGGGUCAGGCUGGGCCAGACUCUGAGCAACCUGAUCCAGAUGUAGGUGUCCUUGUUCAUUGCAGGGAGGUUGGACUAGAUGGCCACUAAGGGUUCCUUCCAACUCAAAUGAUCCUAUGAUUCUAUGGUAUUUCCAAAGAUUUUCAGAUCAGCUAUGUUUAUUUACAAAUAGUAUCGUUCAUUUUUUGUAACUUCCUCAUUGUUUUUAGAUUAUGUAGCAGGUGUUUAUGUUGUAAAAGGAAAAUGGAAAAGUCGUGGAUUCUGAGAAUGACAUCUGAAUAAUUUCUAAGUUGGAGCUAGGUAGAACUGGAAACAUUGGUAACACCUAAGCCAAAGGAAAUCCUGAGCAAAAAUAUUUCUAAAAUAUCUCUGGUAAGCAUCUUAUCCCCUUUUAUCCCACACCAUUACGCUCUUUUUUUUUCACAUUAAAAGAGACAAUAACCUAAUAUCCUCACUCUGAACACAUAAAUGGCAUCAUGACUAAAAGGCCAAGCGAUGUGGUUUUGAGAGGUGCUGUUUAAAAUCUGAUACUGCUUAUUCAGUCCUUCCUUUGAACUGUUCUCAAGAAGCUGAAAACAGGAUCUGUAAUUAUGAACAGAAACAAAAAAAAGAAGAGUUAUUUCUCAACUAGCUCUGAAAAGCAAUUAGACACAAAGACUGAUUUAGACAUUCUUUGGUUUUUGUUUUUUUAAUUUGCAGGUAGUGGCUAAAAAUGAUAAAUAAAUUCUGUUGUGCAAAUGUGGAAAUAAGCACAAAUUAAAUGUCCAGUGAACAUAAAUUAUCUAAUUCAGUCCAUUCACAGCACUAUUAAGAAACUGCCAGUAACUUACCAAACACAAAUAUCAGUUCUUAAAAUAACUGUAUUUCUCCUAAGGUCAUCAUCUUCAUAGAGAACUUGCUGAUCUUAUCGUGGUCAGUCUGAAUUCAGUUUAUUUUAUCCAGUCUCUACUCUACAAACCUUGUCUACUACUAGACAGAAAAGACGGAAUGUAAAAACCGAGUGAACUUUGAAUUGCCUCAGAAUUUAUCUCUGAUGCUUCAGAAAAUAUUUCCUCAUUCUGAAAUGGUGAUGAAGAUGCUUCAUAAUUAUGACUGAAUUGCAGAUGAGAAAAUCGCAGGCAAACAAGACAAAGCAGUAUCUCAGUGGGUAUUAUAUACUGUAUUCUAUCUUUUCCUAUCCAGCUUGGCUGCUUGAUGGUUAAAAAAAAUGAAAAACAAAACAAUAUGUCAGGGUUUAUACAUUAUGUUCUUUCAAACUCCUAACACUUAUGGGUUCCUGGCACGGGAAUCUGAUCAAUCAAACAGCAAAAAUAAAAUUAUGACUUACUCCAAGUUUAUUCUAAGGUUGUAUUUUCUGUGUAGACGCUGUACAUAUCUACAUUCAUACCAUCAGUGUGCAUACAGAAACUGUUAGAAAAUGGUCCUGUUAAUACAGAUAAGUAACUAUCUAUACUACACUAACAAAUAAGAUAUGAAGGGUUACUUCUGGAGAAGAAUGAAUUUUCCAAAAAAAAAAAAAAAAAGUGAUUGCAAGAAUUUCCUGGG